RNAcentral lists this ribosomal RNA (449 nucleotides) under uncultured Glomus. RNAcentral's name for it is "SSU rRNA". It matches the Rfam family "Eukaryotic small subunit ribosomal RNA", at positions 569 to 1024 of the family's 1831-position model. Lineage: Eukaryota; Fungi; Glomeromycota; Glomeromycetes; Glomerales; Glomeraceae. The record is from RNAcentral.
AGCAGCCGCGGUAAUUCCAGCUCCAAUAGCGUAUAUUAAAGUUGUUGCAGUUAAAAAGCUCGUAGUUGAAUUUCGGGGUCAGUAGGUCGGUCGUGCCACUGGUAUGAACUGGUUUCACUGAUUCCUCCCUCUUGUAGAACCGUGAUGCCAUUAAUUUGGUGUUGCGGGGAAACAGGACUGUUACUUUGAAAAAAUUAGAGUGUUUAAAGCAAGCUAACGCUUGAAUACAUUAGCAUGGAAUAAUGAAAUAGGACGUCGAUCUUAUUUUGUUGGUUUCUAGGGUUGACGUAAUGAUUAAUAGGGAUAGUUGGGGGCAGUUAGUAUUCAAUUGUCAGAGGUGAAAUUCUUGGAUUUAUUGAAGACUAACUACUGCGAAAGCAUUUGCCAAGGAUGUUUUCAUUAAUCAAGAACGAAGUUAGGGAUCGAAGACGAUCAGAUACCGUCGUAGU